GUUUGUCACAGUCUAGUGAUACUGAUAAGAAUGACAGCCAAAUAACCUAGCAAAUAACUGUUUUAUUAGUUGUUGAAUACUAGCGUUUUGGCCAAGAAUAGUUGGAGAUUUGGAGGUGUUAGUUUAAGAUUGCUUUUAUAUUGUGUCUAUCCGUGUUUCCUAGGAGGGAGACAGAGUGUGUAGUUGUGUGCCCAUAAAUGUGAUUUCUGUAUUGGCAUAUCUGCUGGGUACCCAUUAUGUGUUUCUACAAAGAUAUUGUUUUGUGAGAUGACGUGUAAUAUUACAUGGGAUGCUGAGUAUGAGUUAUAUGGUUUGAAAUGAAUUGGUGAUUAUGAGCUUAGUACUUCAGUAAGAUGUGCUAAAAUUUGGAACAAGGUGGAAGCUGAAAUGUUGGGAUUAUGGAAGAAUAGGUAGUCUAUAUUCACUGCUUUGGCAUAUAAGCAAGAUGCAAAGGAAGAGAUUGGUAAUAUGAUUUUUGUAAAGAAAUUUUACAAGUGUUGGAAGGAUGAGGCAGGUUUGAUGUCUGGAGAUGAUAUAGAUAUCUUUAAAAUACAGUCAUGCCUUGGUAAUAUGUUGCCACAGUAUUCUUUGCUUGUGAAACAAUUGAUUUCAGACUGGGCCAAUUUGGAUAGCUCAGAUUUUCUUACCAAGGUUAUAGAAAAGGAAAAUGCAGGUUGUUUUGAAUUAAGAAAAGAUUUAGGAAAGUAAGGUUGCUUAUUAUGCUCAGGGAUUGCAACAUAUUAUGUCCAGCUACACAGGCUGAGAGCGAGGAUGGGAUGGAGCACAUAAAGCCCGCGGAAGGGGUGGUCAAAGAGGGGCAAGGGGAUGGAGACAGGGAAAUCAGGGUUAUAGGGGCAGGGGUAACCAAGGAGGAAUAGUCAGGAACACUUGUUUCAACUGUGGCCAAUAUGGCCACUGGAGGAAUGAGUGUCCACACCCCAGGAAACCCCAGGAAACCCUACACACCCCAACAACCCCACCUUUCUCAAAAUAUGCCCGGUAGGCAAGAACAACACCAGACCCACUCCCAACACCACUGGCCAGCAUAUCGCUUAGUUCAGGACUUUAGAGCCCUGAAUAGUUUAAUUGUGCCCAUUUCACCCAUUGUCCCUGAUAUGACAUCCCUCGUUACAGCCAUUCCACAUGAUGCCACUUGCUUCACUGUCAUUGAUUUAAGUAAUGCAUUUUUUCUAUACCUAUUGAUCAAGAGACACAGCUACUUAUGGUUUUUAUUUUUUGAAGGCUGCCAGUUUACCUGGACACGCUUACCCAAGGCUAUGUGGAUUCCCCAGCUGUUUAUUCGUUGGUACUCCAACAUACUCUAAAAAAAAAAAAACAUGGACCACCGGUCAUGGUUCCGUCCUUUUUGCAAAAUGUUGAUGAUUUGUUGUUAUGUAGCCCUAGCUAUGAGGCAAGCACUGUG
Molecule: non-coding RNA, 1423 nt
Organism: Pelobates cultripes (western spadefoot toad)
Lineage: Eukaryota; Metazoa; Chordata; Amphibia; Anura; Pelobatidae
Source: the annotation of a GenBank genome assembly